Molecule: unclassified non-coding RNA, 361 nt
Filed under: Hevea brasiliensis (rubber tree)
Lineage: Eukaryota; Viridiplantae; Streptophyta; Magnoliopsida; Malpighiales; Euphorbiaceae
Source: RNAcentral
AAUUGAAGAAUUAUUUUGAUAAUUAAUUUUAACUGAUCAAUACAAGUUUUGUCUAAUCUUUUCCUCCUUCCCCCAACUAUAUUUAGCAUCAACUCCCCCACCUUAGUGUAUUUAGCAUUUCUUUUCUUAAUUCACUACACACUUAUCAAGCAAGGACGGAUCCAGACGGAUAGCGAGGGGGUCAUCUGAACUUUCUAAAUACUAAAAAAUUACAGGGUUGGUUGAUUUUGAAUCGUCUAAUGUUGACUUAGCUUAAUGAUUGACGUGUUCAAAAUUCAACUUGAGGUUCCAAGUCUCAAGCAAUACAUUAUUAUUUUUCAAACUCUUACUAAAAAUCUUGAAUCCACCGUUACAAUCAAAU